Molecule: transfer RNA, 71 nt
Filed under: Loxodonta africana (African savanna elephant)
Lineage: Eukaryota; Metazoa; Chordata; Mammalia; Proboscidea; Elephantidae
Rfam family: tRNA
About the family: Transfer RNA (tRNA) molecules are approximately 80 nucleotides in length.
Source: Rfam by way of RNAcentral
GCGGCGGUGGUUCGGUGGUAGAAUUCUUGCCUUCCAUGCAGGAGACCCAGGUUUGACUCCUACCCAACGUA